Molecule: ribosomal RNA, 497 nt
Filed under: uncultured bacterium
Lineage: Bacteria
Description: partial 16S ribosomal RNA
Rfam family: Bacterial small subunit ribosomal RNA
Source: RNAcentral
GAUGAACGCUGGCGGCGUGCCUAAUACAUGUAAGUCGAGCGAACGGACGAGAAGCUUGCUUCUCUGAUGUUAGCGGCGGACGGGUGAGUAACACGUGGAUAACCUACCUAUAAGACUGGGAUAACUUCGUGAAACCGGAGCUAAUACCGGAUAAUAUUUUGAACCGCAUGAUUCAAAAGUGAAAGACGGUCUUGCUGUCACUUAUAGAUGGAUCCGCGCUGCAUUAGCUAGUUGGUAAGGUAACGGCUUACCAAGGCAACGAUGCAUAGCCGACCUGAGAGGGUGAUCGGCCACACUGGAACUGAGACACGGUCCAGACUCCUACGGGAGGCAGCAGUAGGGAAUCUUCCGCAAUGGGCGAAAGCCUGACGGAGCAACGCCGCGUGAGUGAUGAAGGUCUUCGGAUCGUAAAACUCUGUUAUUAGGGAAGAACAUAUGUGUAAGUAACUGUGCACAUCUUGACGGUACCUAAUCAGAAAGCCACGGCUAACUACGUG